RNAcentral lists this ribosomal RNA (527 nucleotides) under Salmonella enterica subsp. enterica serovar Newport str. SHSN010. RNAcentral's name for it is "bacterial SSU rRNA". It matches the Rfam family "Bacterial small subunit ribosomal RNA", at positions 1014 to 1533 of the family's 1533-position model. The record is from RNAcentral. Lineage: Bacteria; Pseudomonadati; Pseudomonadota; Gammaproteobacteria; Enterobacterales; Enterobacteriaceae.
GUGCCUUCGGGAACUGUGAGACAGGUGCUGCAUGGCUGUCGUCAGCUCGUGUUGUGAAAUGUUGGGUUAAGUCCCGCAACGAGCGCAACCCUUAUCCUUUGUUGCCAGCGAUUAGGUCGGGAACUCAAAGGAGACUGCCAGUGAUAAACUGGAGGAAGGUGGGGAUGACGUCAAGUCAUCAUGGCCCUUACGACCAGGGCUACACACGUGCUACAAUGGCGCAUACAAAGAGAAGCGACCUCGCGAGAGCAAGCGGACCUCAUAAAGUGCGUCGUAGUCCGGAUUGGAGUCUGCAACUCGACUCCAUGAAGUCGGAAUCGCUAGUAAUCGUGGAUCAGAAUGCCACGGUGAAUACGUUCCCGGGCCUUGUACACACCGCCCGUCACACCAUGGGAGUGGGUUGCAAAAGAAGUAGGUAGCUUAACCUUCGGGAGGGCGCUUACCACUUUGUGAUUCAUGACUGGGGUGAAGUCGUAACAAGGUAACCGUAGGGGAACCUGCGGUUGGAUCACCUCCUUACCUUAAAG